Cavia porcellus (domestic guinea pig) is the source of this 477-nucleotide long non-coding RNA. RefSeq lists it as uncharacterized. The record is from RefSeq and is a predicted model, not a curated record. The transcript is spliced from 4 exons. Lineage: Eukaryota; Metazoa; Chordata; Mammalia; Rodentia; Caviidae.
AUCGCAUCCUGUCUCCAUCUCUCUUUUCUCUUGCCCUGUCCCCAUCCCCAAUCCCCUCUCCAGGUGAGACCCACAAACUGGUCCGCAGGCCAGAUCAGGGCAUGUGGAUGCUGUCUUAAAGAGUAGAAGACAAAAUUCAACCAGCCUGUCCACCCUGGAACUGGGGUUUGGCUCAGUGGCACAAGCGCCUGCCUGGAAGUGCAAAGUUGUGAGUUCCAUCCCUGGUACAAAAUCAUCAUCAUCGAAGAAAGCACCUCCCUCCCUGAUAAAGAAACACCUAGUAGACUAGCAAAGUGUUUUCCCGGAUGUGUCUUAGUGAAUCUUGGAGCCCUGGUCCCAAGCGUGUUCCCAAGCCAGUUCCUCUCUGGAACUGUCGCUGCUCUGCUUCCCAGCAUCUGUGAACUAAGGAGCUUUGGUCAACCAUGAAGUUUCCACCACGGAAUCUAUCACCAAAAUACCCUGAAAUUUUCAUCUAAA